AGCUAGGUGGAGAGAUCCUGAAUAUGGGGAAAAAAUAUUAGUCUAGAGCUUUAGAGAAAGGUUGGAGCUAGAGAUAGACGUUUUGGAGGAUUCUUUUUUUUUAAAGAUUUUAUUUUUUCCUUUUUCUCCCCAAAGCCCCCCAGUACAUAGUUGUAUAUUCUUCGUUGUGGGUCCUUCUAGUUGUAGCAUGUGGGACGCUGCCUCAGCGUGGUUUGAUGAGCAGUGCCAUGUCGGUGCCCAGGAUUCGAACCAACGAAACACUGGGCUGCCUGCAGCGGAGCGCACAGACUUAACCACUCGGCCACGGGGCCAGCCCCCAUUUUGGAGGAUUCUUAAUCAAGAUGAUGAAGUGUGAGGGUAGAUAAGAUUGUUAAGAGGGUGGUGGUGGAGAAGAGAACCUAGCUGAAGGAAAACUUUGAGGAAUACUGAGUUAGGAUAUCCAAUAAAAAAGAUUCUUCUGCAAAAUAGAGGAUCAGAGAAAAAAAGCUAAAAAGGAAGUUGCAGUAACAGCCCUCAAUUCAGCUGAAGGCCAGAGAAAGCGUGGACAACUCAAGAGACUCUGGUAAUUAAUGAGUCAUCAAGAAAUCACCAAUGAGCAGCUUCGGUUAGUUUGGGGUGGAGAGUGGAAGUCAAGAUGCAAAAGAGUUGGAGUCAGUGGGUGAUGAAGAAUUAGCAACAAGCCGUGAAGGAAACUCUUUCUAUCAUUUGGGUAGGAAAAGAAUAGAGAGGGCUCAGCUGAAACAGCACUGAUGAACAUAGAUGGAAUGUCACAGCAGCAGGUGAGUCCUGAAAUACUACUUGAGGGUGGGGUUUCCUGUAUGUCCUUGGACCCCGGCCUUCCCUCACUCAGACAGCUCAGCCUUGCAGUAUUUAUGGCCUCAGGGAAGGGGUGCUGCAGGCAAGUAUUUCUCAGGGUAUCAUCAAUACCUUUGGAGGAAUACAAGGCUCUCUGGUUUUGUGAUGAGAUAAAGAGCUCCUGGCUGAGGGAGGAGGAGGGUCGUAGGGGAAGUGAGAGACUUUGGACUCAAGACUGCAAGAUCAAUUCUUACUUGAAUUGCCAGCCUGCCAGCCUGCUCUACAAAUUUUCAACUUGACAGUCCCCACAAUCGCAUGAGCCAAGUUUUAAAAAUAAAUCUCUCUCUCUCCCGUAUAUGUGUAUGUAUACAUGUAAAGAUAUAGGAUAUCUACAUAUAUACAUAUCCUCAUCUAUCCUGUGGGGUUCUGUUUCUAUGGAAAACCCUGACUAAUGCAAGCUCUUUAAAACUUCCAGAGGGGUUCAGGUAACCUGAAAGCAGUGGAGAGUUUCCUAGGUAUAAGACUCCAGAGAAGAAGUGGUAACUGAAGUGAGGGAAGUAGGAGUGGCAGGACAAUGGUGAAUUAGGGGCCCAAGCUCCUUCUAAAAGGGUUGACUUUUACUCAACCCUAAACAAGGGUUGCCAUGUGGGAAUGGAGUCUGGUGUUAUCAGAUAAUGUGAUUAAUUACGAGAAGCCAAACUCCACUUUAUUAUGAGAAAUCCCUAUAGGAAGAAUUCUGUAGAAGAGGUGGGCUUUGAGCAUUUCCAAAGAAGUGCAGUCUAUACUGAAGUGUAGGAAAUACUGGGUUUGAAGCCACAUAAAAUAAGCAC
Equus asinus (donkey) is the source of this 1625-nucleotide long non-coding RNA. The record is from Ensembl. Lineage: Eukaryota; Metazoa; Chordata; Mammalia; Perissodactyla; Equidae.